AACCAUAGAAACCUGCGGAGUACCUGCGGAGGGAUCAUUACCAGUACCACCGUCGCCUCCGGGCGUCGGUCUACUACCAACCCUUUGUCAUCCGACCUCGUUGCCUCCGGGUGCGACCCUGACCUUCGGGUCUCGCGUCUCCCCGGGUGGACACACAUCAAAACUCUGCAUAACCUUGUAGUCUGAGUAAAACUUUUAAUUAAAUUAAAACUUUUAACAACGGAUCUCAGAUCGGAAGAG
This 240-nucleotide unclassified non-coding RNA is filed under the name soil metagenome. RNAcentral's name for it is "partial contains 5.8S ribosomal RNA, internal transcribed spacer 2, and large subunit ribosomal RNA". The record is from RNAcentral.